AGCAUGGAACACCCUCUGGCCGCAAGAAAGGAAGCGCCAAAGAGCAUUCUUUCUUUUUGGACUAGCACUUAUUCUGCAACUGGACAUUGAGGGCAUCAGGACAUUCUUUCAUACUUUCUUCCGCUUGCCCACCUGGAUGUGGCAGGGUUUCCUUGGCUCCACUUUGUCCUCAGCUGAUCUCAUGCUUUUUGCCGUGUACAUGUUUGUUAUAGCACCAAAUAAUUUGAGAAAGGGCCUCAUCAGACAUCUACUUUCUGAUCCUACUGGAGCCACUAUGAUAAGAACCUAUCUCACCCUAUAGCCUGUCUGUGCGCCCUUCAAUUCCUUCCCUUAGCAGCCCUACAUAAGAACAUAGUUUAGAAUUAAUACACUCAGAUCCCACCCCACUUUUGGAAGUCACUUCCUUUUUGUGUAAAUAAUACAAAUACUCUUCCCUCUGCUACCAUUUAGAAGAUCAAAGAUGUGAUUAACAAUUGUAGUAAAUA
This is a long non-coding RNA of Prunus dulcis (almond), 485 nucleotides long. RefSeq lists it as uncharacterized. Lineage: Eukaryota; Viridiplantae; Streptophyta; Magnoliopsida; Rosales; Rosaceae. The record is from RefSeq and is a predicted model, not a curated record. The transcript is spliced from 2 exons.